Choloepus didactylus (southern two-toed sloth) is the source of this 3806-nucleotide RNA transcript. It is a transcript of the gene named acyl-CoA dehydrogenase family member 11, with no coding region annotated. The record is from RefSeq and is a predicted model, not a curated record. NCBI's taxonomy places the organism in Eukaryota, Metazoa, Chordata, Mammalia, Pilosa, Megalonychidae. The transcript is spliced from 20 exons.
GGUACUAUCUCUAACAGGACGGCAUGGAGAAACACCAGAAUCUUUUAUUCCUGGGCUAGUAGGUUCUGACGAGCUCUUUUCCUAACCGGACCCUAUAGGAGCUUCCGUCUGCCAGUGUAUUAAAUUUGGGAAUGGAAGAGGCCUCUAAGUUCUUAUUCCCUCUUAGUGUUGACCGAAACUUUGCUUUCUUAAAAACUGAGCCCUCCAACUCUGAGGCUGACUGAAAAAGUCUUAAAACUGAACACAACCAAAACUUCUGACAUUUCCCCAUGGAACCGAACUCAUCGGUGUGUGUGUGAUUGGCUAGAGCUACCCGCCCGCCUCGACCCAGCCCUCGGCCGGCCCCGGCUUUGACCCCACCCGCCACUCCCUCCUCCGCCACUUCUCCCGCCCCGUCCAGACUUCGCCACCCGGUGUCGUGUCUAGUAGCGCUCCGGGAACUGAAGGGAGUUGACUUUCGGGACCUGAGGCGUUCUGCGGUCUGCUGCGGUGAAGAUCAUGGAGGUCGGGGCUUCUGGCGAACCUGAGACGGUCGAAGUGCUGCCCCAGCACAAGUUCGACCACACGUCCCUGGAGGACUACCUGCGCCAGCACCUGCCCGGUUUUGAGGCCGAACCUGAAACCACAAUGACCGUUGUCCAAUACAGAUCAGGACAGUCCAAUCCAACCUUUCAUCUCCAGAAGGGCUCUCAAGCAUAUGUACUCAGAAAAAAACCACCGGGUCCACUUCUUCCUAAAGCACACAAGAUUGAUAGAGAAUUUGAAGUCCAGAAAGCCUUGUUUUCAACUGGAUUCCCUGUUCCCAAGCCUUUACUAUACUGCAGUGAUUCUUCUGUCAUUGGAACAGAAUUUUACGUGAUGGAACAUGUGCAGGGUCGAAUCUUUCGUGAUGUCACAAUUCCUGGAGUUAGCCCAGCAGAGCGCUCAGCCAUGUAUGUGGCCAUAAUAGAAACCUUGGCUCAAUUACAUUCCUUGAAUAUACAAUCACUGCAGCUGGAAGGAUAUGGUAAAGGAAUGGGGUACUGCAAAAGACAGGUAUCAACUUGGACAAAGCAAUAUCAUGCUGCAGCUCAUCAGGACAUCCCUGCCAUGGACCAGCUAUCUGAAUGGCUAAUGAAACACCUACCAGAUAAUGAUAGUGAAGAACGUUUGAUUCAUGGAGAUUUUAGACUAGAUAACGUAGUUUUCCACCCUAAGGAGUCCCGAGUUAUAGCAGUACUGGAUUGGGAGCUUUCAACCAUUGGUCAUCCUUUGUCAGACUUGGCUCAUUUUUCCCUGUUCUGCUUUUGGCCAAAGACAGUUCCAAUGAUAAACCAAAGUUCUUCUUUUCGAGAAAACAUAGGGAUACCAUCAGUAGAGGAACUGAUUUCAAUAUAUUGCCGCUGCAGGGGAAUUAAUUCUAUUCUUCCUAACUGGAAUUUCUUUCUUGCUCUUUCAUGUUUUAAAGUGGCUGGAAUAGCACAGGGUGUAUAUAGUAGGUAUCUUCUGGGAAAUAAUUCAUCUGAGAAUAGCGUUCUGUUUGCCAGUGUUGUGAAACCUUUGGCAGAAACUGGUUUACAGCUUUCAAAAAGAACUUUUAGUACUGCACUACCACAGAGUGAUACUACUGGACGGUUAUUUGAACAGACUGCGAGAGGCCAGGAAGUUCUUACUAGAGUGAAGCAUUUCAUGAAACAACAUAUCCUUCCAGCUGAAAAAGAUGUAAUUGAGUUUUAUGUUCAAAAUGAAAAUUCAGUGGACAAGUGGAGAAAACCUUUAGUGAUUGAUAAACUCAAGGAAAUGACCAAAGCAGAGGGCCUCUGGAACCUGUUUUUGCCAGCUGUAAGCGGUCUCAGCCAGGUGGACUAUGCCUUGAUUGCUGAAGAAAUAGGAAAAUGCUUUAUUGCUUCAGAUGUUUUUAACUGCCAAGCACCAGACUCAGGGAACAUGGAAGUACUCCACCUAUAUGGAAACGAGGAACAGAAGAAACAGUGGCUUGAGCCUCUGCUUCAAGGGAGCAUUACCUCCUGCUUCUGUAUGACAGAGCCCAGUGUAGCUUCAAGUGAUGCAACAAAUAUUGAAUGCAGCAUUAAGCGAGAUGGAGAUAGCUAUGUAGUUAAUGGCAAGAAAUGGUGGAGCAGUGGAGCUGGGAAUCCUCAGUGCAAAAUUGCAAUUGUUUUGGGACGAACUGAAAAUUCUUCUGGUUCCAGAUACAAACAACAUAGCAUGAUUCUUGUUCCUAUCGAUACACCUGGCGUAGAAGUUAUAAGACCUUUGUCAGUUUUUGGCUACAUGGAUAAUUUUCAUGGAGGACAUUUUGAAAUCCAUUUUAAUCAAGUGCGAGUUCCUGCAACCAAUUUAAUACUAGGGGAAGGUAGGGGAUUUGAAAUUGCCCAAGGCCGCCUGGGACCUGGCAGAAUCCACCACUGUAUGAGAACAGUAGGUUUGGCGGAACGUGCUUUGCAGAUCAUGUGUCAACGUGCAUCACAAAGAGUGGCCUUUAAGAAGAAACUAUAUGCACACAUUAAAUAGCUCCUGAAGUGCUUCAAUACCUCAGGGAAUAUGGAUAAUUCCUUCAACGUUCUGACUCGAGAUCUCUAGAGAACCUGGUGUGUUACCAUCUUUGUGGAUAUGGAGAGGACUGUUGUAAGGAAGAAUGAUUUGACUCAUCCUUUGGCUUUCUGGAAGGAAUUAGGACAGAUAAGUAUAAAUGAUUUUACAGCCUAAAACUCAGUGAAAGGAGGAACAUUGUAAUAGAGAGAUCUAAAGAUGGCAUGGACUACUUCAGGAGGAGGUAAGUUCCCUGUCACUGAAGACAUGCAAGUAGAAAUGGGAUCAACCUUUGGUGGGAUGCUCCAUGAUUUUUUAAAAUUCUCAUUUGUAACUAUAUACAACUGAGUCUAUUGUUUUUUUACCAAGUAGUACAAAUAAUAUAGUUGCACAUAGGCAAUAUAUCAAAAUUAGGAAAUAUUUAUCAAGAGGGAAAAGAAAAUAUCAUUUCAGGCAUCCUUAGGGAACUUUUUUAGAGAACUGGGAUAUCCAAAUCAUCCUCCAAAAAAGUCCUUCUAAAUAUUAAGAAAGCAAAACAAAUAUUAUUAAAUAUUUAAUACUUACUAUUGCUAACUUGUUGGUGUUAGGGCAGACUUAUGGUGAUAAAAUUAUAUUUGUAUUUGCUGGAUGAGUAUAUUUUACCACAUCGGUCCCCUUGUAAAGUAUAUUUGUGACCAUUUUAUAAAAUUUUGAAGCAUAUUUUUAUCUUAAAUCUUCAUAGGGUUGAUCUUUGCUUUUUGUAAAAUAUUAUUCAGCACACUAUGAUUUAUCUAUGACAUUGUUCUGAUGGAAAAAUACAGCUUGUAUUAUGGCACCACCCCUAGGUAUAUUUUGUGGGAAAUCCCUUUAAUAUACAGUGAGGGCAAAGGUUUGGCUGUUGAAUGGGUACCAGGGAAGGGGGUCAGAAGGUGCAAACUACUGGGGCCGAGGAUGCUGCCCAUGCUGCUGCUGGAGUAGGGGCUAAAGAGUUGCUCAUGGCACCAACUAUCACUUCUUACCCUUUUCUGUUUUCAAGAUCACCACCAAAACCUUGAAGCAACCUCGAAGUAGGACAAAAGAAGGUUGAGGGAGAGGCAUCUUGAACACCUGAAAUGACUCUGCCCCAGUGCUGCAUUCAUGAGUGAUAUUUUAGUACUGAGCCAGGAGGUUGUGGCCCACUGGAUUGCUGAAAGCCGUAUUGCCAUUGAAGAGAUCCGCUUGUUGACCCUGAAAGCUGCCCACAGCAUCGACACACUGGGCAGUGCUGGCGCCAAGAAGGAGAUUGCAAUGAUCAAAGU